AGAGUUUGAUCCUGGCUCAGGAUGAACGCUAGCUACAGGCUUAACACAUGCAAGUCGAGGGGAAACGGAACAUCGAAAGACUUGUCUUUUGUAUGGGCGUCGACCGGCGCACGGGUGGAGUAACGCGUAUCCAACCUGCCCACCACUUGGGGAGUAACCUUGCGAAAGUAAGACUAAUACCCAAUGACGUCUCUAGAAGACAUCUGAAGGAGAUUAAAGAUUUAUCGGUGAUGGAUGGGGAUGCGUCUGAUUAGCUUGUUGGCGGGGUAACGGCCACCAAGGCGACGAUCAGUAGGGGUUCUGAGGAGGAAGGUCCCCCACAUUGGAACUGAGACACGGUCCAAACUCCUACGGGAGGCA
This 360-nucleotide ribosomal RNA is filed under the name uncultured bacterium. RNAcentral's name for it is "bacterial SSU rRNA". It matches the Rfam family "Bacterial small subunit ribosomal RNA", at positions 8 to 350 of the family's 1533-position model. The record is from RNAcentral.